CGCGAAGAACCUUACCAGGUCUUGACAUCCUUUGACCACUCUAGAGAUAGAGCUUCCCCUUCGGGGGCAAAGUGACAGGUGGUGCAUGGUUGUCGUCAGCUCGUGUCGUGAGAUGUUGGGUUAAGUCCCGCAACGAGCGCAACCCCUAUUAUUAGUUGCCAGCAUUCAGUUGGGCACUCUAAUGAGACUGCCGGUGACAAACCGGAGGAAGGUGGGGAUGACGUCAAAUCAGCAUGCCCCUUAUGACCUGGGCUACACACGUGCUACAAUGGAUGGUACAACGAGUCGCGAAGUCGCGAGGCUAAGCUAAUCUCUUAAAGCUUCUCUCAGUUCGGAUUGUAGGCUGCAACUCGCCUACAUGAAGCCGGAAUCGCUAGUAAUCGUGGAUCAGAAUGCCACGGUGAAUACGUUCCCGGGUCUUGUACACACC
Molecule: ribosomal RNA, 430 nt
Filed under: uncultured bacterium
Lineage: Bacteria
Description: bacterial SSU rRNA
Rfam family: Bacterial small subunit ribosomal RNA
Source: RNAcentral